GGAGUAAAAGUCGUAACAAGGUUUCCGUAGGUGAACCUGCGGAAGGAUCAUUAUUGUAUAACCGAGGUGCGAGGGCUGUCGCUGACCCGAAAGGUCGUGCACGCCCGAGUGCCCUCACACACAUCCAUCUCACCCCUAUGUGCACCACCGCGUGGGUCCCCCUUUGGCUUGUUCGGAGGGGGGCUUACGUUUUCACACAAACUUUGUAUGCAGUGUAGAAUGUAUUUUUUGUUUUUGCGAUCACGCAAUCAAUACAACUCUCAACAACGGAUCUCUUGGCUCUC
RNAcentral lists this unclassified non-coding RNA (284 nucleotides) under plant metagenome. Its description in RNAcentral is "partial contains small subunit ribosomal RNA, internal transcribed spacer 1, and 5.8S ribosomal RNA". The stretch from base 1 to 53 matches the Rfam family "Eukaryotic small subunit ribosomal RNA", at positions 1779 to 1831 of the family's 1831-position model. The record is from RNAcentral.